CAGUCGCCACGGGAAUACAGAGGGUGCGAGCGUUAAUCGGAUUUACUGGGCGUAAAGCGUGCGUAGGCGGCUUCUUAAGUCGGAUGUGAAAUCCCUGAGCUUAACUUAGGAAUUGCAUUCGAUACUGGGAAGCUAGAGUAUGGGAGAGGAUGGUAGAAUUCCAGGUGUAGCGGUGAAAUGCGUAGAGAUCUGGAGGAAUACCGAUGGCGAAGGCAGCCAUCUGGCCUAAUACUGACGCUGAGGUACGAAAGCAUGGGGAGCGAACAGGAUUAGAUACCCCCGUAGUCCCUGUCUCUUAUAC
RNAcentral lists this ribosomal RNA (301 nucleotides) under uncultured bacterium. RNAcentral's name for it is "partial 16S ribosomal RNA". It matches the Rfam family "Bacterial small subunit ribosomal RNA", at positions 509 to 807 of the family's 1533-position model. The record is from RNAcentral.